This is a long non-coding RNA of Labeo rohita (rohu), 1995 nucleotides long. RefSeq lists it as uncharacterized. The transcript is spliced from 2 exons. The record is from RefSeq and is a predicted model, not a curated record. NCBI's taxonomy places the organism in Eukaryota, Metazoa, Chordata, Actinopteri, Cypriniformes, Cyprinidae.
GGAAACACUAGAAGUAAGUGUUUUAUCUCAUUUAAAAUAUGUAUUUCAUAAGAUCAUAUUGAUUUGUAGGGGAUCUACACGUUCUUUUUCGCAAGAGCUUUUAUUUUGAAAUUCGUCGCGGGUGCCGCCAUUACUAUUUUCUUGCGUGAGUGUCAGACGCACGGAGAAAGAGCGAGAGAGAACAGAAGCAGCGGUGAGCUGAUGAAGAAUGCACUGAUUUUGAGAACUCUUAUCGAGUUAAAAUUUAAGUUUAGACUAGUGUCAUGCAUUAAAACUGCAUGUUGAUGCAUCUAAGUCUUCGUUUUCCGUAACGAGCCUGUUAUUUAUAGUAACGUGACAAGUUUAUAUAGUGCUCGUACGUGAAACAGCAAACAGACUGUUAAGUGUUUAAAAAGUCAUUCAGCGUUGGAGUUGAAUACUGCCGUGUUUCCGUGCGUUUGCAUCCAGUUUUGUUAGUUCGUACGAACUCAAAACGUGGUGAAUGUGUUGCUUAUUUUUUUGUGAGGAGAGUUAAGCUGAUUCGUUAGAUGGGAUCGUAUGUUGUUCGUGCUCUUGGACCGAUCUUCGUUGGACUGGAUUGCGGCCUCGUCGGAUCAAGGUGUUGUCUUUAGGAUCACGGGGGCAAUUGUUGAAGAUCAUAGAGUUAAAAGAACAGUACCCUGCCUAUUCAGACACCUUUCAGCGCUCCAUCUAUGUUCCAAGAGUGGUGAUGUGCUUCAUUUUCUUAAUUUUCCACUGAAUGCUGGUAAGCAAGAAAUCUUUUCUUUAACACGUGUAUAAGGACUGAACUGUGCUUUAAGAGAAAACUCUCAUACACGGAACUGUAACGUGAAUUUACCUGCAAGUCUAUGAACCGUCCGACUACUGAAUGGACUGAGUACAAUUUUCCCCGGAUUUUUGAAGUGAACUUUUCAAAGUUUGAGUUGAACUGAAUCACACUGAUUGUGAAUGUGAAACCUUUCAGUGCCAUAAAAGAAGAACUCCGAUUGUUGUUUAAGUUUCAACAAAAACACUAACGCAUUGUUUAUAUUUUCUUUAUUGUUGUCAAUCUUUCAUUUUACUCCAAAUUUACUGAAUUUGAAAUACCUUUACUUUUCCUGUGAAGAAACUAAAGAAAGAAGUAAUUUAUUCUGUCUCUUGAGUCUAAUGUUUUUCAUCUGGAUAUUUCUAGUUAGUUAAACUAAAACUGUGGUUACCAAAUUGAGUCUUUUACACUAAGGAGUGGGGGCGUCUCAUCUAUCCUGUUAGAUUUGGAGAAGAAGACAGGAGGUCCAAAAUGAUGACAGAAUUUUCAGUUUUGGGUGAACCAUUUUGAUUUGUAUUCUAUUGUAUUGUCUAGAUUUAAACUGUCAGACUGCCAUCUACAUUAAUGUUAGUUUUUUUGGUUCUUAUUCCGAGGUCACUGUAGCCACCCAGAUCCAGACUGUAUCCAGGUCAAAUGGUCACUGCAGGUACCCGGAUCUAGUCCAGCCCAGAUGGUGGAUCAGCACCUAGAGAUGAUCUCUACAGCCCUGAAUGUCAGCGGAGACCAGGACAAAUAGAUAAGCCCCAGAGACUGAUCCCAUCUGAAGACCUCGUCACCUAGACGGCGAUACGGACAAGAGCACGGGAACCAGAUGAGCUCUCUGCACAUCUAACUUUGUUGCAGCGUAGAUUUAAACUGUUGGUUUCAUCUGGCCAGAGGAAAACAGAACUAUUUCGACACACUAUGUCCCUGUUUAAAGGAUUACUCCACCCCAAAAUGAAAAUUUUGUCAUUAGUCACUUACCCCCAUGUCAUUCCAAACCUGUAAAAGCUUAGUUCGUCUUCAGAACACAAAUUAAGAUAUUUUUGAUGCAUUCUGACAGCUUUCUGACCCUCCCAUACACAGCAAUGUAUUUAACAUGAUCAAUGUCCAGAAAUGUGGCAAGGAGAUCCAUAAAAUAAUCCAUGUGACAUAAGGUGUUCAACCUUAGUCUUACAAAGCUACAAGAAUACUUUUUGUACGCAAAGAAA